Molecule: ribosomal RNA, 504 nt
Filed under: uncultured bacterium
Lineage: Bacteria
Description: partial 16S ribosomal RNA
Rfam family: Bacterial small subunit ribosomal RNA
Source: RNAcentral
AUUGAACGCUGGCGGCAGGCCUAACACAUGCAAGUCGAACGGUAGCACAGAGAGCUUGCUCUCGGGUGACGAGUGGCGGACGGGUGAGUAAUGUCUGGGAAACUGCCCGAUGGAGGGGGAUAACUACUGGAAACGGUAGCUAAUACCGCAUAACGUCGCAAGACCAAAGUGGGGGACCUUCGGGCCUCACACCAUCGGAUGUGCCCAGAUGGGAUUAGCUAGUAGGUGGGGUAAUGGCUCACCUAGGCGACGAUCCCUAGCUGGUCUGAGAGGAUGACCAGCAACACUGGAACUGAGACACGGUCCAGACGCCUACGGGAGGCAGCAGUGGGGGAUAUUGCACAAUGGGCGCAAGCCUGAUGCAGCCAUGCCGCGUGUAUGAAGAAGGCCUUCGGGUUGUAAAGUACUUUCAGCGGGGAGGAAGGCGGUGGAGUUAAUAACUUCACCGAUUGACGUUACCCGCAGAAGAAGCACCGGCUAACUCCGUGCCAGCCGCCGCAGUAA